This is an RNA transcript of Camelus dromedarius (Arabian camel), 12941 nucleotides long. It is a transcript of the gene named SR-related CTD associated factor 8, with no coding region annotated. The record is from RefSeq and is a predicted model, not a curated record. The transcript has 24 exons. NCBI's taxonomy places the organism in Eukaryota, Metazoa, Chordata, Mammalia, Artiodactyla, Camelidae.
UAGGGGACCGGGCUAGAGGGUGGAGGCCCGAGACCGAGCGGGGCGGAGAAGAGAAGGCGCCGCGGCCCAGCCCCUCCCCCGCGCUGCCGACCCGCCCCGGCAGCCUCUGUUCCCCGGACCGGCGCUGCGCCCGCCCUAGCGGCCAUGCCGGGGCCUCGCCGCCCCUGAGGGAGCCCUUCCCCGCCAGUGCCUGUCCUUCCCCUCCGGCCCGGGGUCGCCGCGGCUCGGUCUCCCGCCGGCGCCCCGUCCUUGCGGCCGCGCCGCCGCCCCCGUGUCGCUCUCCCCACCCAGUGCAGUGGCCGCCGCCUCUUCCGCCGCCGGGCUCCGGACCUCCGCACCGACAACAUGGAGGCCGUGAAAACCUUCAACAGCGAGGAUUGUGCCUCUACUCCUGCUUGUACAGACUGCUUUUCCAGCAGCAUGGACACAAGAAGCAUAUUAUAUUCCCUGAAUGACUACAAGCCACCCAUUUCUAAAGCAAAAAUGACCCAAAUUACUAAGGCAGCCAUUAAAGCUAUUAAGUUUUAUAAGCAUGUGGUACAGAGUGUUGAGAAAUUCAUUCAGAAAUGUAAACCAGAAUACAAGGUACCUGGGCUUUAUGUUAUUGACUCCAUUGUACGACAAUCUCGACAUCAGUUUGGUCAAGAAAAGGAUGUGUUUGCACCCAGGUUUAGUAAUAACAUCAUUAGCACCUUCCAGAAUUUAUAUCGUUGCCCUGGAGAUGACAAGAGUAAAAUAGUGAGGGUAUUAAACUUAUGGCAGAAGAAUAAUGUAUUUAAGAGUGAGAUUAUCCAACCUCUUUUGGAUAUGGCAGCAGGGAUUCCUCCUCCAGUCGUCACACCUGUUUUGGCCAGUACUACUGCUGCUAUGAGCAAUACCCCAGGAACUCCUGUGACACCUGUUACUCCAGCCAAUGUGGUUCAAGGUUUACCUGAUCCGUGGGUAUCUCAGAUAACAAAUACAGAUACACUUGCAGCUGUAGCUCAGAUCUUACAAAGUCCUCAAGGCCAACAGCUACAGCAGUUAAUACAGACUUUACAGAUACAGCAGCAGAAGCCUCAGCCUUCCAUCCUGCAAGCCCUGGAUGCUGGUCUUGUCGUUCAGCUCCAGGCUCUCACAGCACAGCUCACAGCAGCUGCUGCAGCAGCCAACACCCUUAAUCCCUUGGAACAGGGAGUGUCUUUUAACAAGAAGUUGAUGGAUAGAUUUGAUUUUGGGGAAGAUUCUGAGCAUAGUGAAGAACCCAAAAAGGAAAUUCCAACUUCUCAACUUUCUCAUGUUUCGGAAUCUGUGAACAAUUCCAUUUUUCAUCAGAUAGCAGAACAACUACAGCAGCAAAAUCUUGAGCAUCUCAGACAGCAACUCCUGGAACAGCAACAGCCUCAAAAGGCAACUCCUCAGGAUAGUCAAGAAGGAACAUUCGGGUCAGAGCAUUCUGCGUCACCAUCACAGGGGAGCAGUCAGCAGCAUUUCCUUGAACCUGAAGCAAAUUUGGAUGAUUCCAUAGAUAUUCAACAACAGGAUAUGGAUAUAGAUGAAGGGCAAGAUGGAGUGGAAGAGGAGGUCUUUGAACAAGAAGCAAAGAAAGUGGCAGUUCGCUCAAGAUCAAGAACACAUUCACGAUCUCGUUCAAGAUCACCAAGAAAACGAAGGUCUAGGUCACGAUCUGGUUCUCGAAAGCGUAAACACAGAAAGCGAUCACGCUCCCGCUCUAGAGAAAGAAAGAGGAAAUCAUCACGUUCAUACUCGAGUGAAAGAAGAGCUAGAGAAAGAGAGAAAGAACGACAGAAGAAGGGCUUGCCUCCAAUUAGAUCUAAAACAUUAAGUGUAUGUAGCACUACUCUGUGGGUUGGCCAAGUAGACAAGAAGGCAACACAGCAAGAUUUAACCAACCUGUUUGAAGAGUUUGGACAGAUUGAAUCCAUUAAUAUGAUUCCUCCCAGGGGCUGUGCUUACGUCUGCAUGGUUCAUCGACAAGAUGCGUUUCGUGCUCUUCAGAAACUUAGUUCUGGAUCAUAUAAAAUUGGGUCCAAGGUCAUUAAGAUUGCUUGGGCUUUAAACAAAGGUGUAAAAACAGAAUACAAACAAUUCUGGGAUGUGGAUCUUGGAGUUACAUAUAUACCAUGGGAAAAGGUUAAAGUGGAUGACUUGGAAGGUUUUGCAGAAGGAGGCAUGAUUGAUCAGGAAACUGUAAAUACUGAGUGGGAAACUGUGAAAAGCUCAGAACCUGUUAAAGAGACGGUCCAGACAACUCAGAGCCCAACUCCAAUUGAAAAGGAGACCGUGGUCACAACCCAGGCAGAGGUUUUCCCUCCACCUGUUGCUAUGUUACAGAUUCCAGUAGCUCCAGCAGUGCCUACAGUUAGUUUAGUCCCACCAGCAUUUCCUGUGUCAAUGCCAGUUCCUCCUCCUGGAUUCAGUCCAAUUCCUCCACCUCCUUUUCUCCGAGCAAGUUUUAACCCUUCACAACCACCUCCUGGUUUCAUGCCACCUCCAGUUCCCCCACCUGUGGUACCACCGCCUACUAUUCCACCAGUAGUACCAACAUCUUUAGUGCAGCCACCAUUAGCCAUGACUCCAGAAGCUGUGAAAGAUGUUGGAUUUGGUGGCCUUGUUUUACCAGGUGGUGCUGUUGCCAGUGGUCUUGCUACUUCUACUCUGCCAGCUGGAAGUGUUUUUAACCCUCCAACUAAACAAGCAGAGCCUGAAGAGAAAGUACCUCAUCUUCUAGACCACCAGAUUUCUUCUGGUGAAAACACCAGAUCAGUGAUUCCAAAUGAUAUUUCGACUGGCUCUGCAAUUCUAGGAGGACAGCCGCCAAAUGUGACGAGCAGCUCUGGAAUUCUGGGAGUCCAGAGACCAAAUGUAUCAAGUAAUAAUGAAAUUCUUGGAGUCCGGCCAUCUAAUGUUUCCAGUAGUUCUGGGAUUAUUGGAGCCCAGCCACCAAAUAUUCUGAAUAACUCUGGAAUUUUGGGAAUACAGCCACCAAGUGUGUCAACUAGUUCUGGACUUCUGGGAGUACUGCCCCCGAAUAUACCUAACAAUUCUGGACUUAUAGGAGUACAGCCACCCAGUGUUCCAAAUACUUCUGGACUUUUGGGAACACAGCCACCAGCUGGGCCUCAAAACUUACCCCCUUUAAAUCUUCCUAAUCAAAGGAUGCCUGCAAUGCCAAUGUUAGACAUUCGUCCAGCACUGAUACCACAGACACCUGGACCAAGAUUCCCUUUAAUACAGCCUGGAAUUCCACCCCAAAGGGGGCUCCCUCCCCCAUCGGUACUUGAUUCAGCUCUUCAUCCACCACCCCGUGGUCCUUUUCCUCCUGGAGAUAUUUUUAGUCAGCCUGAAAGACCUUUUCUAAUUCCUGGAAGACAAAGUAUAGACAAUGUUACUAAUCCAGAAAAAAGGAUACCACUUGGAAAUGAUAACAUUCAACAGGAAGGAGAUAGAGAUUACCGGUUUCCUCCCAUAGAAACCAGGGAAACCAUUAGUAGACCUCCCCCAGUGGAUGUUAGGGAUGUGGUUGGACGGCCUGUAGAUCCAAGAGAAGGCCCUGGAAGGCCUCCAUUAGAUGGUAGAGAUCACUUUGGAAGACCUCCUGUAGAUAUUAGAGAGAAUCUUGUGAGGCCAGGCAUAGAUCAUCUUGGUCGAAGAGACCACUUUGGCUUUAAUCCAGAGAAGCCCUGGGGGCCUAGAGAUUUUGAUGAAAGAGAGCAUCGGGUUCUGCCUGUCUAUGGUGGUCCAAAAGGCUUACAUGAAGAAAGAGGUAGAUUUCGGUCUGGAAACUAUCGCUUUGACCCUAGAAGUGGUCCUUGGAACAGAGGAUUUGGACAAGAAGUUCACAGAGAUUUUGAUGACCGCAGAAGACCCUGGGAGAGGCAGAGGGAUAGGGAUGACAGAGAUUUUGAUUUCUGCAGAGAAAUUAAUGGGAAUCGUCUUGGACGAGAUAGAAUUCAGAACACCUGGGUCCCCCCUCCUCAUGCUCGGGUUUUUGAGUUUUUUGAAGGGGCCACUUCUCAACGAAAAGGUGAUAAUGUGCCUCAGGUUAAUGGUGAAAAUACCGAGAGACAUGCUCAGCCACCACCUUUACCAGCACAGAGUGAUCCUGAACUUUAUGAAAAACUGACAUCGUCCAGUGAAAUAAACAAGGAGAAGAGUGACACAGUUGCUGAUAUAGAAAGUGAACCAGUGGUAGAAAGCACAGAAACUGAGGGGACAUAACCAUCACUCAGUAGAAUGACUCAGACGAUAACAGAGCUUCUAAGUCCAGCAGAACAUGAAGUCUUUCCUCUUCGUCUUCCUGGUUCGCAUGUAAGAAGGAGAGAACUGUGUCAUGAGGUUCAACUAUUGUUCAUGUCACACAAUUUGACUGGACUUCUAAUUAAGGUUUACAGGUGAGUCAGCAUAAAAGCUAUGCGAACUUCUCUCCCACUCAGAGAAGCUGUGGUCGGACCCUGCUCUUGUUCUGUAUGAAGACACCAUGAGUGAGUGUUGGAAGCUCCCUCCCCCAGCCCCAGAGGGGCAUCCCAGCCACUCCUCCUCCUCAGUUUAAAAAGAUCCUUCUGGACUUCCCCAUCACCGAGAAACUCAUCUGUUGUGCUUACUAAAUUAAAACAACUCAAAGAAGUGGUUUUACUUUACUGUUGGCAUAAAGUAACGCACAAGGAACUUGCAGUGAGAGGUCCAUGGUGAACUACCCACCUUCCCCGGGACUGUGAGAGGGAGGGGGUGUCUCCUGUCCGCCGGGCAGCCAGAAGCAUCUUCCUCAGAAGGUUGGCAGAAACGUGAACUAAUAAUUACUUCAGAAGGCAAACUGUUGUGUCUGUGAGGAGGAAAUGGUGCCGCUGGAACAGGAUGUCGAGCCGGGCCUCCCCGGGCCUGGAACCCCUGGGCAGGCAGCUAGGAGCCCACUCAAGGCCUCCUUGGGGCUCAGGAUUACCCUGGCUUCCUGUUUCUGAUUUCAGACUCUUCAGAAAAUUCCCUGUGAAAUGGAAAUCCUGACUGGUCCUUUCUGGUGCAUUCUUACUACGUGAGGAGACAGCCGACCAGCAAGAGACAGUGAGGAGGAGUUAUCAACCACCAGCUUUUGAUGAAAGAGGAGAAGAGGAGAAAGGAAGAUCUUCCAAAUCCAGUUAUGUCAAACAUGGUCACAGAAGAAUCUUAUGGGACAGAUAGAAAAAAAAAAAUAGAGAAGAUUCCUGCCCCAUGAGGGCAAAGCAUCCCGUUGCCACAUCACUGAACAAAGCUUUGCAAGGUGUGUGUGCACAGCAGGAGCUGCACACAGCUCGGCAGAGGACAGAGAUGAGCCACUCGUGGAGCAGAGCCGGGGUGCCUGUGAUGUUCCAAGUCCAGAGCCGGUUACCAGGACACCCCCUCACUGCCCCUCCCCUACCAAAGUGUGCUGUCUAGUUAGGGAAGGGGCACUGGGGAAGGAGCGAUCGUCCUGAUGCUCUGGAAGCACAGAGCAGCUUCCACCCAGGCAGACGCCACUGUGGCCGGGUCCAGGCUGUUGCUGCAACGGUUUGAGCAGAACAGAUGGAAAUGGUGGUCGAGACAGGAGAGGUUAGGAAAUGCACUAGGAGGUGACAAGGCGAAGACUGGAGACCAAAUGGUUGUGGGAAUGAAGGGCAGGAGAGGUCAAAGGCGGCUCCCAGUGGCUUGGGACACAGGGAUGUGGCUGACUGAGGUAGGAGGUGGGCUUGAGGAGGAGAAGGUCUGAGGAGGCACCAUGAUGGCAAGAUGGAUGUGGCCAGAGACCGCCCUCCAGGGCGGGGGGAGUCAGGCUAGUGCAGAAUCAUUCUCUCUGGACUUUUUUUUUUUUGUCUUCCCCCACGAGUAAGUGUUUUAGUACUGAUGAAUCUGUGUCAGAUUGGAAAUGAGAUAGGAACAAAAAUGUAACUUUCUGUGUGGGUGGCAUGUGGGAAAGAGGCUGGGGAGCAGUGGGGGCUCUGAGACUUAGUGCUUGUUCGUUGGCUUAUUUCCAGCAGGAGUUGGUAGACGGAUGAGCUAACGGCAGGUCUUCACCACUGCCCAUCAAUCACCCCUCUGUUCCCCUUGCCCUUGGGACAAUGCCGGGGAGACACUAGCGUUCCUCCAGUACUUUCUCAGGACGGCUGGUUUCUCAUUACCUCAUCGCAGAGAAGAGAAGAUGGGUUUCUCAACCACUUCCUUCUGCAGUUGGUAAAACUGGAAUGCCCUCAGGUUUCUGUGCGAGCAGGUAGCUACAGGAGCCCUGAUGGUAAAACAGAGUCAUCCAGGGUGGGUGCAUCUCUCAGUUACAUUCUGGGUCCAGGUGGGACUCGGCGCCGAUGAAUAAUAUCCUCUUGUUGUAGAAAAUUGUCCUUGGACAAAGACAUUUUCAAAAACACAUGACAAAUGGUGUCCAUCUAUUUCAAAGGACCCAAGGUUGCUUUAUAAAUGCUCUUGUGGCCUCGCGGGCUAGGAGUAUAUAUUUGCAGAUGAUAAAGACAGUCUUUGAGGCGAGAGGGAAACAGAGCAGCCCUGCACCCAGCUUCUGCUUCGUCUCCUCCUCUCAGGGCUGUGUAUGUAAAACCAGCUUGUCUGCACCGGGGAAUUCCACCAGGGAACGUGAGUUUGCUGAGACUUUCAUUCCAACGACAUGGAAUAAUAAUAAAAUAUGCAAACAGAGUUUCCCAUCCCUUCUUGGGAGAGAAGGACGGAGGUGGGGGAGAGGAAUGAAGCUGAUUAUUCCAGAGGCAUAAAGAGUUGACAACAACUCUGGUUUUUUCUUUUUUCUUUUCGUUUAAAAAAUGGUAAAACAUAAAUAUUUUUAAAACCCUUUACACAAUAGCAGGGAAAAAUUGUGGGCAGAAAGUUUUUUUUAAUUGAAGUACAGUUACAGUAUGUCAGUUUCUGGAGUACAGCACAGUGUCCCAGUCACACAUAUACAUACAUACACCAUUUUUCAUUAAAGGUUACUACAAGAUAUUGAAUGUAGUUCCCUGUGCUAUACAGAAAAAAUUUGUUUUUUAAUCUAUUUUUAUAUAUAGUAGUUAAUAUCUACAAAUCUCCAACUCCCACAUUUAUCCCUCCUACCCCCUUUCCCCCUGGUAACCAUAGAUUGUUUAUUAUGUCUGCAUGGAAAGAUUUCAUUAAUCCUGUAACUUUGGGGAACCACUGCAGAUGUUGAUGGUAGAUUUAAAAUCUAGAAGAGAAAAUUUCAAUGUCAAAAUGAUUUAAAAAAAAUGUUUAUGGAGACCUGUUCUUUACAGUGUAAAGAUACAAAUCUCACCUCUUAUAGAAAGGUUAUAUAUAGUCCUAUAGAAAACUACGUGUACUUUAAAAGCCUAGAGUGUGAAUUUUAAAGUGUGUGGCUCAUUUAAACUUUCUAAUGAGAAAGUUUGGGUGAAAAAAAUGAACAGUAGCCACAAGGUCAAGUUAUUAUUGCUCUAACUUAAGACAAUAGAUUUACUGAUAUAUCUGUUAAUUCAGUGAGUAUUUCUAUUAUGUGCUAGACACAAAGUUUAAAAAAGCAGAUUUUUUUCUGUGUGACACUUUCUCCAUUUCACUAAAGUUUGUAAAGUCCUUUUUAAAAAUUGCAAUAAUAUAGGGCUGUUAAAAGAAUCAAGUAAGUCUACUUGUAUUACAUCAAAUAUAUUUAUUCCAUAUAUAUAUAAAUACAUGAUAUAUAUGACACAUUUGAUGAAUACUUACUAAAAUUGUUAUAGCAUACCCUAAGACUUUCUUUUCUUUUCUCUUACAAUACAUUGGACUCAGAAGAAAUUGGCAAGCAUAUAAAUCUGAGCUCAAGGUCAGGUUUUAGCUCAUUUAAUACCCCAGCUUUGAAACUGAAACCCACAAAUUACACAUCAUCACCAAAUUAUAACUUUUAAAAAGAGGCACAUAACGGUUCGUGGGACUUCCUCACACUACACACCAGCACACCUACACAGAUUUCACUUUCGAGGAGAAAGCUGCUCCUUCUAAUAUCCUGGAGGGAAUUUGUUCCCUAGGUAGUUCGAUUUCAAAAUUCACUUCCCGUGUAACCAUCUUUUCUAUACACCAGAUGGCUCCAUGCCAACAACCCUCAACUUCAGAUGUGGCUUAAAUUGUCUUUGUCCACGAGCAGAAGUUGAUCUGUUUUCCUCCCUUCUGACCCACUUAGAACUGUGACAUCCAAAGCCCAAACCCCAAACCCCAGUCCUUUCAAUAAUACUAAUAAGCAGCCAGUUAGGAAGCCUGUGCUGGUGACAGCAGUGCUCAGCCAACAUCGUGAACAGGGUUGGGAGGAAGUGCGAGGAAUUCAGGGAGAGUCCAACCAGAGAAACUGCGACCCAAUUCCAAGUCCAAGUUUAAUGGGACGAGGGAAUUGAAAAAGUGGAGCUCAGGGCCAUAAAGGGAAAUGAGAGAAAAGGCAUGCUCAUAUUUUGUAAGUUUUGCAUUUCACAAAAAGUUUAUGGGUUCAACAAACACAUUUCCUAGGUUGAGGGCUCCAGCGAAAAUGGAUGCCGGCCAUGUAACCAGCUGGCAAGCAAGAACUGACUGGACAUCUUUAAGGUAUAUAAGCAUUAUACUAGGCACUUUAUUUUGAUACAGAAAAUAUUAACUUUUACAUUUUCUGAUAUGUUUAUCAGACUAACUUUGUUUAUAAAUUAUAACAAAUAAAACAAACUUAACAUAAGUUUUAUCAACUUAGAACCAUCAAUGUCAUGGGCAUUUUUUUUUAAGGCUGUAUCUUUUGAGGGUGAAGUCCAAGGUUAAAAGUCUUUCACUGGGUCUUGGAGGGUGUCUGCAUCUGGGUUACACAGGAGCCAGACCAGCAGAUUGGCAACCUGGGCUGAUCCACCCAAAACUCGUACACAAAUAUAAGAGUAGCAGGCUUUCCAGGGAGCACUGAACACCUCUAUCUCCUCUUCGGAGAUGCCCAGAGAUGCUUCCCAGCUCAGGGAUCGAGUCGAGGCAUCAGCUCUGGCUAAGAGAGAUUCUCUAUGGGAUUAAACCAGGUUUUUAGAUCUGGAAUCUUGAGCAAUCUUCUAAACAAACAUAGACCUUUUAUCAUGGGGUAGUAAUCCUACCAGGCGACCUUUUGUCUUUCAUUUUUCUUUCAAGGAUUUAUCAGUUAGACUCUAGUAACUUGUCAGCGGAAAGGAAAACUGAUCAAAUGAAUCCAAGAGAUAGAACAAUCUGUCACCCGUGUGAGCAGGUGAACGCCCCCCCGCCCCACCCCACCUGGCAACGACACAUCACACACACACAUGUGACUGGUUUGAAGGCAGUGCAGGGUGGAUCUCGAUUUUGGGGUUCAACGCAGCUUUUCGGAAUUGUUAUCAGUCCCACCGCCUUCUUUCUUUCAGGAGUUUGAAAACGCCAUGAAGUGACACGUGUGGGCUCCUCAACAGCUGAAAGACCCUUUUGUGUUCAGCUAAGUGACCUUCAGAAAGGAGAGGUGCAGCCUUCCUCUGGACAUCUCCACUUCUCCCAAGUUAGCCUGGCCUGCUGGUGAGCUGCCUGCCUGUGCCGGGAGCCGCGUGGUCCCUGCCUGUCUCCUGAAUCUCGGGGCGCUGGGAGGGAGGCUGCCGAGCCUGCGAACGUCCGGAGCGGGAAGUCACAGGGAAGCACUUAGUGGGAGGAACCAUCGCUGGACUCCUCGUGCUCACCCACAAACAGGCUGUAAAAGUGAAUUUGAGCUCUGUGGAGUGGCAUUGCCACUGCGUGUGUGUGUGUGUGUGUGUGUGUGUGUAAUGUCACUUCUGUGACCGGCGGCGCCCAGGCGGAGACAGAGUUUACUUGGCAAAAAGAUUCUCUUCCUUCAGGUACUGGGAAAGAGUGAAAAGAGAGCAAAAAAACCAACUUCCAAAACAAGCAAACAAAACAAAACCCUCCAAAGCUAGAAAGGCAGCUUAAGAAGGCACCUUUCGACGUAGGACACAGGGCAAGGAUGACUUGUUUGUUUGUUUGUUUUUUUAAGGAUGACUUGUUUGUUGAAACCAUCGACUCAGUGUCCUGCUAACAGAAAGUCCAAGAAAAUACUGCCCAGGACUAGAAAGAUUGAGAAGUGGGCUGAAUCCUUACUUCAAGGAGUCUGAGUAAUUGAAGUAGGAAGAUUCUGCAAGAGACUAUGACCAAAUGGUUAUUUCUCAGGAGUGGGGUGACAGUUAAUAUGAUUUUUUAACUUUUUAGGAAAUAAUAGGGUGCUGUAGUUGAAGACGUUUGGUGGCUGUGAAGUGAGUGGAUGGUGAGGACAGUGGGGCUGCCUUUUUAAAAUCAGGUUGUUCUUGUCUUUACCAGGGGUGGACAUUUGAAUUCAUCUUUGGGAGUAGAUUUGCUUUAAUUGCACCUUGGAUUCUUCUACAGGAAAGCUGACUCCUGCUUUAUAACGAAGUUGACCCCGCAUAACUUCCCCAUAACUUCCCCAUCGCCCUGAGCGCCCUGGCUUUUCCCUCUGGGGUUUUCUUUGCCGAUCUGACCCCACCUGGUGAGAGUUCUGUCUCCUUCCAGUCUUCCCCGCAGGCGUUUCAGCCAGGCCCAGGGCUAGACUUUAUUUCUCCGCACCACUUACGUCUCAGUGCACAUCUCCAGGUCCAAACUCUGUUCUGAAUGCUAGUCCUGUAUAUUCUCCGCAUACCCUUCCCAAAUAUACCCUCCAGUCUCUCCUCCCCACCCCCACUCAGCUCAGCUGGGGCUUAAAACCUUUCAGAGGGUUCUCAUUGUUCUAAGGAUAAAAUCCAGAAUUCUUAACAUGCCUACAAGAGCAUGCAUGACUGCUUCUUGGCAUCUUUGGCCUCAUUCCCUGUUGCUCUGUCCUUACUCCCUUCCCUUCGGAUGGACCCAGCUCCGUCCACAUCAGAGCUUCAAAGUCACCACUCCCCUUACUGAGAAUGAUCCAACUCAAGCCAGCCUUCAGAGCACAGCUAAAAUGCUGCUUUCUCCAGUAAGCCCUGUCUGAUCCCUUGGAGCUGGGUUCACUCUCUUUCUUACAUGCUGCACAUCUUUAGCAGAGACAUAAAAAGGACUAUUUGUGAAAUUUGUUGACUACCUAUCACCCUCCCUCCGACUGUAACAAUUACGCAGAUUAUAUCCCUGCUGCCCCCGACAGUGCCAGGUGCGGAGCGAAGUCUCCGUGAACAGAUGGGUGAGCGAAUGAGUUAAGGUUUCCAGCACUCAGUUUCUCUUUCUGACUUGGUGUGAAGGUUCAUCUUUACUGUAGACCAAGAUGCACCUCUGCAGAUGAUUUUUUAUCUAAUAGAGUGGGACUAAGACUGAGGGUGUGGAGAAGCUUUUUCUCUCUCUCUCUCAUAGGCCCUGAUGGCGUUGCAGCCUGGACUCUGGUGGCGGGGUGGGGGACAUGCUGGUUCCCUGGAUGGGGCUUGGGCGAAGGAGAGAGAGGCCCUGGGUGGCUUCAUGUCUUUGGGACUAUUAUUUGUUUUUCACUUUUUUUCUUUACCCCUUCUGUAAUUCCCUUCUGUUUCCCCAAGACUUCUGUUAAAUUCUGUGACCCUCCCCUUGGGCAUAGCUCUGCUGAGAAACUAGGCAAGGAAGACACCGUGCCUUCCCCUGGAGGCAAAGCUGUAGGAGGAAAAGCUAAGAGACAACUUGCAGCAGGGGGCGUGGGAGUCAGAGCACAAGCCAGCCAAGGGAAGAAGGGCCAGCAGGGCGAUUGGUGGAAAUGAUAGGAUUCGUCUGGAAUGUGCAGGCAUCUUUUGGGAGGGGAAACCGGACUAUGCCCAGACUCUCUGAGGUUACACAGUGUGCCAGUCACUGCCUCAUCGCCUGUCAGCUCCAAAUUCAUCCUUUUUGCCUUCUCUGGAAAGAGGGAUCUGGGCCUUUCAUAUAAUUUCCUUUGCCAGCUGGCUUGUUAAACUUCAUCAGCACCGGGUGUGGGGGAGGCAUGGCAGGAGGACGGACUUCUGCCUGCCGGUUGCCCUUCUCUUGCUUGCUGCCUCCUGCAUUUGGGGCAGUUUCUCCUGCACUAGGAUCCUGCAGUGCAGGGCAGCCAGUAGCGGCCCCCAGCUUUUUCUGGUAUCUCGCUGUUCGGGUGGUUUUGCAAUGAGGUGCUUCCAUGAGACACCUCCCUGUGAACAGCUUUCCCCCACCCUAGAAGGUAGAUUAUCAGCAAAUUUCAGACAGUUGAUUUCCAGCAAGUUCCACUGGCAUGAUACCACAGUGACUUCUCUGCCUCUUAGUGAGCCACAGCCAUGCCCUCCCCAGUAGGGUCUGGGUCUCAGCCUGGGGUAGGGCAAGGCUCAUCCCCAGGUGCUCGCUCUCAGCCCCAGGGUAGUGGCUGCUUUUAAAGAUUUUAUAUCUGCUUUUCCUGUUUUCUUUUGAGUUCUCUUUACUUCUUGUCAAUCCCUCAUUGCUCCAGAUUCUGUUAUAGUUAAUGGUUCUUUUUUUUUUAAAUUUUAUUUUUUAUUAAAGUAUAGUUGAUUUACAAUGUGAGUUUCAGGUGUACAGCAAAGCGAUUCAGUUUCCAUUACAGCUUAUUACAAGAAACUGAAUAUAGUUCCUUGUGCUACACAGUAAGUCCUUGUUGUUUAUCUAUUUCAUAUAUAAUAAUGUGUGUCUGUUAAUCUCCAACCCCUAAUUUAUUCUUCCCCUCCCUUUCCCCUUUGGUAACCAUAGUUUGUUUUCUAUGUCCAUGAGUCUAUUUGUUUGCAAAUAAAAUUUCUAUUUUUUUAAGAUUCCACAUAUAAGUGAUAUCAUAUGAUAUUUAUCUUUCUGUCUGACUUCACUUAAUAUGCUAAUCUCUAGGUCCAUCCAUGUUGCUGCAAAUGGCAUUAUUUCAUUCUUUGUUGUGGCUGAGGAAUAUUCCAUUGUGUAUAUAUACCACAACUUCUUUAUCCAGUCACCUGUAAAUGGGCAUUCAGGUUGUUUCCAUGUCUUGGCUAUUGUAAAUAGUGCUGCUAUGAAUGUUGGGGCACAUGUGUCUUUUUGAGUUAUUGUUUUCUCUGAAUAGUUCUUUAUAUUAAACAUUUACUGUUUAA